This 692-nucleotide long non-coding RNA is filed under the name Capsella rubella. RNAcentral's name for it is "long non-coding RNA (CRUB_LNC001240)". Lineage: Eukaryota; Viridiplantae; Streptophyta; Magnoliopsida; Brassicales; Brassicaceae. The record is from RNAcentral.
GACUUUCUCAUCGAUCUCCGAUCUCGCCUUCUCCAGUACCUGUGGAUUCCUCAGUAAAUUCGCCAUCGCCCACUCUAGUGUUACGGCGGAGGUCUCAGUCCCGGCGAGCAUCAUCGCCUUUAACAAACAAUCAGGUAAAAAUUGAAUUCAAAAUUCGUUCUAUUUCAAUUAAAUCAAGUUUUUUGAUGUGAUCAUGAUUCAUGAAUUAGACAUCUUACCAUCAUGAGGCCUUUGAUGGUAACGUCAGUGUAAUAGUGAGGUUGUUGUUGUUGUAGAGAGAUCAAAUGAUUGACCAUUGUGUUACCUUCUUUAUCUCUUCUACACUCAUCGAGCAAACGCUGCAAAAUCUCAUCCAUGGAUUUGCCAAUAGCUAUAACUUCCUUUUCGUAUUUGUUUCCGAAUAGUUUUAGAACUGGCAAGUAAUCAGCGGAAUGGUUAGCUCCGCUGUACACUGCGAUAUCGUAAACUAGCUUCUUGAAUAGCUCUGCUUCUUCCUUGUUGUUGACAUCGUCGCCGUAAUAUCGCUUCCCUGUAACCAUCCUUACUAUGUUGUUGAACGUUAGAUCGGAUAAGAGGGGUUCGAGCUCAAUGUGAGUGAAACUGCUGCUUCCGUUGGAGGCUUGCGUGGUGCGUGAAAUGCGCUUGAGCAUGCGCAAUAUCUCGUCUUUGCGGAUGUGUUGGAAGUUGUUGAG